This 1189-nucleotide ribosomal RNA is filed under the name uncultured bacterium. RNAcentral's name for it is "bacterial SSU rRNA". It matches the Rfam family "Bacterial small subunit ribosomal RNA", at positions 101 to 1310 of the family's 1533-position model. The record is from RNAcentral.
AACGGGUGAGGAACACGUGAGGAAUCUGCCCAUCAUUUGGGAUAACACCGGGAAACCGGGGCUAAUACCGAAUACUCCGUCUUGGCGGCAUCGCUAAGCCGGGAAAGAAUUUCGAUGAUGGAUGAUCUCGCGGCCUAUCAGCUAGUUGGUGAGGUAACGGCUCACCAAGGCAACGACGGGUAGCCGGCCUGAGAGGGCGACCGGCCACACUGGGACUGAGACACGGCCCAGACUCCUACGGGAGGCAGCAGUAGGGAAUAUUGGGCAAUGGGCGCAAGCCUGACCCAGCGACGCCGCGUGAGGGAUGAGGGUCUUCGGAUUGUAAACCUCUUUCAGUAGGGAAGAAGCGAAAGUGACGGUACCUAAAGAAGAAGCACCGGCUAACUAUGUGCCAGCAGCCGCGGUAAUACAUAGGGUGCAAGCGUUGUCCGGAAUUAUUGGGCGUAAAGAGCUCGUAGGUCGUUAAUCACGUCGGAUGUGAAAAUCUGAGGCUCAACCUCAGACCUGCAUUCGAUACGGGUUAACUAGAGUGUGGUAGGGGAGACUGGAAUUCCUGGUGUAGCGGUGGAAUGCGCAGAUAUCAGGAGGAACACCUAUGGCGAAGGCAGGUCUCUGGGCCAUUACUGACACUGAGGAGCGAAAGUUCGGGGAGCGAACAGGAUUAGAUACCCUGGUAGUCCGAACCGUAAACGGUGGACGCUAGUUGUGGGAACCUUCCACGGUUUCCGCGACGCAGCUAACGCAUUAAGCGUCCCGCCUGGGGAGUACGAUCGCAAGAUUAAAACUCAAAGGAAUUGACGGGGCCCCGCACAAGCGGCGGAGCAUGCGGCUCAAUUCGAUGCAACGCGAAGAACCUUACCAAGGCUUGACAUAUAGCGAAAAGUGGCAGAGAUGUCAUGUCCGCAAGGGCGCUAUACAGGUGGUGCAUGGUUGUCGUCAGCUCGUGUCGUGAGAUGUUGGGUUAAGUCCCGCAACGAGCGCAACCCUCGUCCUAUGUUGCCAGCACAUAAUGGUGGGAACUCAUGGGAGACUGCCGGGGUCAACUCGGAGGAAGGUGGGGAUGACGUCAAAUCAUCAUGCCCCUUAUGUCUUGGGCUGCACGCAUGCUACAAUGGCUGGUACAAGUGCUGCAUACCGCAGGUUGAGCGAAUCACAUAAAGCCAGUCUCAGUUCGGAUUGGGGUCUUAAC